AUGAGGGGUGCUCUAGGUUUUCACGCAAGUACUAGAAACCACCAAAGUGGAAACUUGAGAUGUAAACAAAACAUACUUUCCAUAGAUGGAGCAAAGUCUGUAUCAAGGAAGAAACCAAUGUCAGAGGAUUCUGAGAGCAGCUCAAAUGGCUCAGGCCCUCUGUGCAUGCCAUGCUUAAUAAAGGCAAUAAAAAGCUCCGCGCUGCUGGGCCGUUUAUCUCUGCCACCACAACAGCCCGGGCCGCAAACAGGCGAGCCGUUCUCUGCCCGGCUCCUGGGCUCCCGCCGGGAGGGCACAAUUAAGACAGACCCUUGCCUUCUUGGCUGCCAAAGCAUUUCAGCUUCUGAAGAGCAUGGGAAGCAACGCCAUCAACCCCCCUGAGGAAAUAAAUAAAUAAAUUAAUUAAUUAAAUAAAUGCA
This 419-nucleotide long non-coding RNA is filed under the name Vulpes vulpes (red fox). RNAcentral describes it as "lncRNA (ENSVVUG00000019958.1)". Lineage: Eukaryota; Metazoa; Chordata; Mammalia; Carnivora; Canidae. The record is from RNAcentral.